GCCAGCCGCCGCGGUAAUACGGAGGGUGCAAGCGUUAAUCGGAAUUACUGGGCGUAAAGCGCACGCAGGCGGUUUGUUAAGUCAGAUGUGAAAUCCCCGGGCUCAACCUGGGAACUGCAUCUGAUACUGGCAAGCUUGAGUCUCGUAGAGGGGGGUAGAAUUCCAGGUGUAGCGGUGAAAUGCGUAGAGAUCUGGAGGAAUACCGAUGGCGAAGGCAGCCAUCUGGCCUAAUACUGACGCUGAGGUACGAAAGCAUGGGGAGCAAACAGGAUUAGAUACCCUGGUAGUCCAUGCCGUAAAUGAUGUCUACUAGCCGUUGGGGCCUCUGAGGCUUUAGUGGCGCAGCUAACGCGAUAAGUAGACCGCCUGGGGAGUACGGUCGCAAGACUAAAACUCAAAUGAAUUGACGGGGGCCCGCACAAGCGGUGGAGCAUGUGGUUUAAUUCGAUGCAACGCGAAGAACCUUACCUGGCCUUGACAUACUAGAAACUUUCCAGAGAUGGAUUGGUGCCUUCGGGAAUCUAGAUACAGGUGCUGCAUGGCUGUCGUCAGCUCGUGUCGUGAGAUGUUGGGUUAAGUCCCGCAACGAGCGCAACCCUU
This 600-nucleotide ribosomal RNA is filed under the name uncultured Moraxellaceae bacterium. RNAcentral's name for it is "bacterial SSU rRNA". It matches the Rfam family "Bacterial small subunit ribosomal RNA", at positions 507 to 1106 of the family's 1533-position model. The record is from RNAcentral. Lineage: Bacteria; Pseudomonadati; Pseudomonadota; Gammaproteobacteria; Moraxellales; Moraxellaceae.